This 406-nucleotide ribosomal RNA is filed under the name uncultured bacterium. RNAcentral's name for it is "partial 16S ribosomal RNA". It matches the Rfam family "Bacterial small subunit ribosomal RNA", at positions 30 to 526 of the family's 1533-position model. The record is from RNAcentral.
AUUGAACGCUGGCGGCAGGCUUAACACAUGCAAGUCGAGCGAGCGGCGGACGGGUGUGUAAUGUCUGGGAAACUGCCUGAUGGAGGGGUAUCUAUACUGGAAACGGUAGCUAAUACCGCAUACCCUCAGAUGUGCCAAGAUGGGAUUAGCUUGUAGGUGGGGUCAUGGCUCACCUGGGCGACGAUCCCUAGCUGGUCGGAGAGUAUGACCAGCCACACUGGAACUGAGACACGGUCCAGACUCCUACGGGAGGCAGCAGUGGGGAAGAUGGCACAAUGGGCGCAAGCCUGAUGCAGCCAUGCCGCGUGUGUGAAUAAGGCCUUCGGGUUGUAAAGCACUUUCAGCGAGGAGGCGUUACUCGCAGAAGAAGCACCGGCUAACUCCGUGCCAGCAGCCGCGGUAAUUC